UGUCGGCGCAGCUUCUCCUGGGCACUAC
This 28-nucleotide small RNA is filed under the name Bombyx mori (domestic silkworm). RNAcentral's name for it is "ovarian small RNA-35738". Lineage: Eukaryota; Metazoa; Arthropoda; Insecta; Lepidoptera; Bombycidae. The record is from RNAcentral.